Molecule: ribosomal RNA, 494 nt
Filed under: uncultured bacterium
Lineage: Bacteria
Description: bacterial SSU rRNA
Rfam family: Bacterial small subunit ribosomal RNA
Source: RNAcentral
GACGAACGCUGGCGGCGUGCCUAACACAUGCAAGUCGAGCGGAGAUAUAUGGAAGGUUUACCGGAAAUAUAUCUUAGCGGCGGACGGGUGAGUAACGCGUGGGCAACCUGCCUCAUACAGGGGGAUAACACAGGGAAACUUGUGCUAAUACCGCAUGAAAUCAUAGUAUGGCAUCAUACAAUGAUCAAAGGAGCAAUCCGGUAUGAGAUGGGCCCGCGUCCGAUUAGCUAGUUGGUGAGGUAACGGCUCACCAAGGCGACGAUCGGUAGCCGAACUGAGAGGUUGAUCGGCCACAUUGGGACUGAGACACGGCCCAGACUCCUACGGGAGGCAGCAGUGGGGAAUAUUGCGCAAUGGGGGAAACCCUGACGCAGCAACGCCGCGUGAAGGAAGAAGGCCUCGGUUGUAACUUCUUGAUAGGGACGAUAAUGACGGUACCUAAAACAAGACCACGGCUAACUACGUGCCAGCAGCCGCGGUAAAAUAGACGUACU